CUUUAAAAUAAUAAACGCGUACACGUUCUGAAGUAUUGGCAUUGACUAGUGUUAUUUGUGUGGUUGUAGUUUUUGUAUUGGACUGUGAAGAUUAGUGAUGCUUAUCAAAAUUAUGCCAUUAGGUGGCAGUACCAACGAUGUUUCGUCCAGCAUUACUGAAGAAGAAUACCGCCAACGUGACUAACGGAGGAACAAACCUGAGACAGAAUUCAUUGAAGAAAAAGAGGAAAAUGAAGAAUCAAGUGAAGUUGAGGAGAAGAAUCAUGUGAAAACUGGCGGAAAACUUUCCCAGUGCGGACCUGACCAAGGCUGUCUCCAUGGCAACUUGCUGUUACGCUGUAUAAUCUGCGGACUGAGGCAUCUAGAGACUGAGGGAGAGGAUGGAGAUUCUGCCGCUGAUUAUAUCCUUUUUUCAAAAUAUAUUAUCUCAUUAAUAUUGUGUAAUUAUUAAUCAAGUGUUUGAUCAGUAUUUAACCUCCAAGAUUGUUGUAUGAUGUGAUGAAAUGAAGAAAGCCAUCUAUACACUAUAGAUUGAUGCAUGCAUACUCAGAAACAUAUUAUUUCUUCCUAGAAGUGUCAGGUUUUACAUGUCAUGAACGUGUGUGAGUAUUCUUUCUCCUAGGGUCACAAGGUCAGCUAAAAAGGACCAGGGGGCCUCUUCUAUGUACUACGAGGGAGACAUGCAGUAUUCUAACAUGUCCAAAUGUACAUUAGAUAUUAAGAACUCUGUUUUAUCCUGUAUUUCUAUUCUUCAAGAUUAAUGUCAGCCUGCUUUGUGUGUGUAACCAACCGUAGUGAUAAAAAGACUUGCCAGUGCUAGAGAACCUUGGAAAUAGCAGAUAAGGUUUGUGUGUGUGUGCGCCCAUAAAGUGAUGCGGCUGACAUUGCUGGAUUCCAGACCUAGGAUGAGGUGUCUUCUUCAACCGUGCUGACGCCUGCUAUAAUCACUGGAGAUAUGCUGAAGAUGUGUAUGCCCAUAUGUGAAGAUUGUCUAAGUUUAUCUAGGUUUUGGAACCAAUCAGAUUGCUGCUGACCAGCGGUUUGAUGCAACUAAAGUCUUUGUCUGGAGUAUAACUAUGACUGAUUUUGUAUUGUACGGCAGAGCAGCUUGCGGACUCCUGCGAGAGUAUUGACGCUGACUUCUGCCGAUUAAACUGCAAACUAUUUCCUUUAAGUAAAAUUAUUAUUAUUAAUUGAACUCAUCUCUGACUCCUGGUCUUCAUUACGACAACACCUGGUCCUUGGGUUUUGAACUGUUAUCCCCAACAAGACAAUCGCAACUCUCCAGGCCUACUAAUACACAAACUCUUACACAUAUACAGAUAUGCACUCACCUCCCCACCCCCAUCCCUCGCCUUCGCUGCUUCAUACCGCCAGUCUGUCAAGCGGGUCUGUGACCAGCGCUUUUUAGCUGCAGGUUAGGAUGGCUGCUGCCUGCACUGGAUUACCUCGACCCCCCCCCAAUUUCUGUCCCCAGUUGCAAAGUCGUGUGUUUAUGGUGAUUAUGUGCUUUUGUUGCUGAGGUGUUUUUUCAUGUUCCCAUACUGUACUCCAAAAGGAGCAUAGUAUGGGUGUUGGUUCUCCUCACUUUCCUAAUGUUAUGCUGUAUUUCUUCCUCAAUUCCCUGUCUUCCUGUUCUGUCUAGCCCAUUGUAUGUAUGUUCUGUAUGUAUGGACAGGUUGAUGGCUAAUUUCGCUGGUACUUGUGACUAGAGACAAUAAAGGGCUACUUUCUUACUUACUUUUAGUGACUGUGCAUUUAUUUGCAAUCAAGUCAACAAUAUCGCUG
Molecule: long non-coding RNA, 1788 nt
Filed under: Carassius auratus (goldfish)
Lineage: Eukaryota; Metazoa; Chordata; Actinopteri; Cypriniformes; Cyprinidae
Description: lncRNA (ENSCARG00000040468.1)
Source: RNAcentral